AGGCAAUCCAUGAGCGGCUUGACAGCUCUGGAUAGAAAGUCCUAGCUGAGCUUGUGAAUCGUUAAGGAAAGAUGGACACGAGGGUGUCCAGGCCCAUCUCCCUCCCUCACGGAGGGAAGAGGCAGUGGGCAGGUGUGACAGCAGACGCUGUGGGGCAGUACUUGGAGGGCGAUGGCUUUGAAAGAGAGUUUUAAAAACUGGACUGGGAAAUGCGAGUGUCACGAGAUGCCGGCGAGUGGAGACAGAACACUGGAAGGAGCAGCCAGCCAAGAGAACGAGGCCCCGAGGAAGGGAGAGAGCAGGCACGCAGCGGCGCGGGGAGGAGCGGCAUGGACCGCAGCAGACGGCCUCUCCGGCCUGCGCACCCGGGUCAGCACGCUGAGGGAAUUAAACCCAUUGCUUCCUCUGGGCAGUCAAUGGUGAAGCGGUCCUCUGAGAGUGAAGAACAAGCGUGUGAGUUAAGGUGUUGAAGUAGAGUGAACACACCUGCAGGUGCUGCUGUGCCGAAUGCGGAGCGCCAGCCAGGCGGGGAGGCUCUGUCUUGCCAAGUCUGUUCAGAGUCCCGUGGGAAGACGGUGAGGGAACAGAACCGCUUAGCAACAUGAGGUACAGAAAGCCACAGCAGGUUAGAAUCAGCUUGGACCAUCAUGAUCUCCCCAUCCCUCAUUCCCCCUGCAUUACUUAUUGGUCUGAAGAGGUUUCACUGCUAUGUUUGACACAGCCUGGAAGCUCACCAGGAUGUUCACUUAAACACACACCUAAGUACAGACAGGAAAGAUGGUGAGUUGAGUCCCAGCAGACUGCUGUCUAGAAACCCACCCCAAGAAUGGGAGCUGUGAAUCUGGUCACAGAUUUGGGAUGGAGAAGGGUCAUUGGCUCAAUUCAAUACUCGGUCUUCAUUAAGAGUGAGAAAGAGUCAGCCAGGUAUUCAGACACCAGAUUAAUUGAUUUCCUUCCUCCUAGGACUGAGAAGGGGUUUUGCAAAAGUUGUCAUAAAACAAAACAUGCCAGGAACCUAAGCCAAGAAAACAGACUAUUUGCUGUGUCACUGUCACUUGGACUGAAACUCAGUGGACAACUCUUGCCAGGUCUAGGAGGUACAAACUAAGAUGAAUUGGCUUUAAUAAUUAAAGGAAAUAACUGUGCUGGCCCGGGAUACAAAGUCAGAUGGGUAGGUUAAAUCCGCUCCAGGGAAUUUCAUACUAUUGUGGCAGCUGAGGCUACCAGGCCAAGAAGGCAUCUACACUGUCACCGUGGUCACCACUCCUCUGCCAUUGAAAUGCAAGCCGUUUUGAUGCUGCUUCUAUUUUCUUAAGUGAUUUCCCCCUUUUCUGUUUCUUUGGUGUACAAUAAAGUUCACUAAGAAUGUCUCCACCCUCUGAAGCUGUUUCAAAGGCAACUAGAUACGGUGGUAUCAAGGCAAUGGGAAUAAAAUGGGUAAAGUCCAAGAAAUUGGUAAAACUUAGGAAGACAGAGAAUCAUAUGAAAUUAUCCUUCCAGGCACAAGUCUGUGCUUAAAUAUUAGAAUUGGGUGUGGGGCAGGAGACAGUUUUCGUUUUAUGCCUUUUGAGAUGCCAUUUUCCCAUUCUAGAUAACCUUGAAUACUCUGAAUGUAGGGGCAGCACUAAGAUGCAACUGUGUCCUUCUAGCGGAGAAGCAGGGCUCUACCAUAACUAGAGCUCUGAGGCGGGAUGUCAGUUAGAGGUCUCCGCCACAGCAUCCUGACACUGCCUCUCUCCCUUGGUCCUCCAAGCCACCAGGGAUGACCCUGACACACUUUGCUCUUCUUUCAAACUGCUCAACCCAUUGUAAAGAGAGCACCUUUUUAGGUGAAACUCCCUAGAAAUGCAGGUCUUCAACUCUCCAUGUAUCUAGUGAAAAAAUAAAACAACAAAAGAGACAUAGCAAAGUCCCAGGAAGUAUAGGAAGAAAACACAUCUCCUGGCUUUUUAACGCACAAAUGGUCCCACCAGAAUUCUCUGAAAAUGCAUGCUAGGUUUUAGCAGAAGAAACCUCUGUAGGAAAACACAGCUAGAGUUACUGUAAGAAGGUAGUUUAAAAUAAAGCAUUAGGUAGUGUAGUUGGAGAAAAUCUAACGAAUGAAAUGUAAACAAUUAGGGUGUGUCCUCUCCCACCAAACAAAAACAAAACUGCUGGAUUACUUUUACGGUGCUGAAGUUGUUUCAUGACUGUACCUUGUCACCCUUCUUUACUGUCCUGGUUGUCAAUUUACUGAUGGCUUUCUUGGCUGCAUCUCCGAGACGACGCUAUGAAAAUUGCAAAUAAAAACAGAUACUAAGUGUAA
Long non-coding RNA from Homo sapiens (human), 2305 nucleotides. RefSeq annotates it as RNF130 antisense RNA 2. The transcript is spliced from 2 exons. Lineage: Eukaryota; Metazoa; Chordata; Mammalia; Primates; Hominidae. The record is from RefSeq and is a predicted model, not a curated record.